AGCUCCAAUAGCGUAUAUUAAAAUUGUUGCAGUUAAAAAGCUCGUAUUCGGAACGCGACGCAUAUCUUGCUUGUCUCCUUCGCGGGAGCGCUGGUAUGCAAGGACUUCUUUGGAAGCCUCUGUUACUUUGAGAAAAAUUGAGUGUUUCAAGCGGGCCAGAGCUGAAAUAGUGUACCAUGGAAUGACGCAGUGGCUGUCCCUCCGUUUCUUCGGUUUUGGACGGGACAGCGCGUGGUUGAUAGGAGCAGUCAGUGAUAUUCGUAUUGAACAGUCAGAGGUGAAAUUCUUAGAUUUGUUCAAGACGGACUAAUGCGAAAGCAUCUAUCAGGGAUGCUUCCA
This 339-nucleotide ribosomal RNA is filed under the name uncultured eukaryote. Its description in RNAcentral is "SSU rRNA". It matches the Rfam family "Eukaryotic small subunit ribosomal RNA", at positions 587 to 972 of the family's 1831-position model. The record is from RNAcentral.